RNAcentral lists this ribosomal RNA (253 nucleotides) under uncultured bacterium. Its description in RNAcentral is "partial 16S ribosomal RNA". It matches the Rfam family "Bacterial small subunit ribosomal RNA", at positions 524 to 776 of the family's 1533-position model. The record is from RNAcentral.
UACGUAGGGCGCAAGCGUUGUCCGGAAUUAUUGGGCGUAAAGAACUCGUAGGCGGCUUGUCACGUCGGGUGUGAAAGCCCGGGGCUUAACCCCGGGUCUGCAUUCGAUACGGGCUAGCUAGAGUGUGGUAGGGGAGAUCGGAAUUCCUGGUGUAGCGGUGAAAUGCGCAGAUAUCUGGAGGAACACCGGUGGCGAAGGCGGCAUCCUGGACCGAGAUUGACGCUGAUGCGCGAAAGCCAGGGGAGCAAACGGG